Molecule: long non-coding RNA, 2145 nt
Filed under: Triticum aestivum (bread wheat)
Lineage: Eukaryota; Viridiplantae; Streptophyta; Magnoliopsida; Poales; Poaceae
Description: long non-coding RNA (TAES_LNC026996)
Source: RNAcentral
CAAAAUCCAGAUAAAACAGGUUAAUCGCAAGCUUAUUUCUAGCAUGUAGCUCCCGGUAUCCUCCGCAUUAUGUAUAAUAUACCAGUACCGAAGAGAAGAGAACACACACAAACGCUACGCCCAGACGAGACCUUAAGAUAGAUUCAUGGAUACACAAUGCACACCGUGGAUAUGAACACAAUAAACACCUCGAAGUCUAGACAGAUAAAUUACAAUGAGUCAAAAAUCAUGACAGCAUCAAACUCAAGCGUGUGUCCAGACUAGAAGAAUGGGCCUAUGACCAGCCGAAGACGAAGUCGAGAACGUAGACGACGGCGAGGGUCAGAGGGUACAGCAGGUAGGCCACCAGGCAGGUCCAGAGCGGGAAGCUGGUCCGGAAGCUUGUGAAGAGUCCCAUGAUGACACAGACGAGCAGGAUGACGAGCACCUCCGAGGAGAAGUCCCACGUCAGCUCCCUGAAGUAGAUGAGCGCCAAGAACACGCCCAGGCACAGUGUGUUGUUCAUGGUCACGCCGCCGUAUACCUGCAAGCGAAUUUGUCGUUAGGUUUACCGAAGGAUGUUCUUAGUCCAGAGUAGAGAGAUGGACGGUUACAAGCUAAGGAGUUUCACUGUACCUCUGAGAAAGUGAGGGAGCAAGUCCUCUGCUUCUUCCUGCUGGCGAAGAUGAUGGCCGAGACGGCCUCGCUGGAAUUGGUUGCCAGCGGGAGGCCGAUGAACGAGACAAAGAAGGACGGGAUGUGUGUGGCGUUAGAGAAGUUGUGGACAGCAUCAACAAGCGGGUCUGCAAAUGCGGCACAAAUGGUAGCGCCGAGAAGCAGGUACCCCACGGCCUUGGCAAUGCACCAGCCAGGGUUCUCGACGCUCUCCACUGCCUCGUCAGAUCUGUCGACCAACUGGUCAUGAUCCUCCCUAGUUCUCUGCAGAAUUCAGGCAACUCGGUAAGUGCCUAUCUCUUUCGUGUCCAAGUUACACUACUAUCUAAACUUGUUUUAUGUGUUUCCCUAGUGUAAGUUAUUAUAAUUCUUAUCUGAAGAGGUGUGCUCUGUCUAUUUCUAUUUACAGGGAUCGGAAGUAAAUAAACUUACAGCAUGGUAGUCGUUGACAAACUUAUUAGAGUAGGCACCACUAGCCUCCACUUUUUGCUUCGCCUCAUGAAGCCAUAUUUUCAUUCCCGCGACAAACUCAUCCUCCUCCACAGUGUCAUUGCCUGAAGUAUCAAAGUCGUCCAUGAUCUUAUCGACAGCAUCAUUCUUGUCAAAGUCAAUCUCCUCAAAGUUGAUCCCGAUAAUAAGCGCAUGUAGCUCUGCUCGUGACAGGUUACGGCUGUCAUCAUUGUCAAUCUUGUGGAACAACCUGCAGGUGAGCAUAGACAAGGUUUCAUAUCAUGCUCAUGAAUGCUGUGUUAUUUGAAUAUCGGACUAAUAAUAUACUUGAAGAACCUCACUUUCUUAUGACGUUUUCAUUAGGUGAGCCGUCAUCGUUAAGUAGCCGGCCCAGUGCUUGCUUUUGGGCAUGCUGUAGGAUCCCAGAGAUCACAUGCUUGUGCUUUGCAUAUGCGAGCUUCCUCUUCUGAACCCAAGGCUGGAAAACCUGAUGCAAAGAGUAGAAUUAACUGUCAAAAUUUAAUCCAAUCUUUUCAUCAUUUGCAGCCUCCUACAAAUGAAACUGUCUAAAUAUUUACCUGAUACAGGCAGUAGCCGAGUACAAGUGAGAAUGAAGCGAUUAGGGCCAGUAAGAUGGCUAGGCGCUCCCCAUGGUGAGUCUUCAACAUUUUCGGGAACUGAGCAAUGACAAAGGGAAUAACAGAUAUGGCCAUGAUUCGUGCUGCGUAGCUAGUUUGCACAUCAGUUGUAAUGCCAGAGCCUGCAACAGGGUGCGAUCAUAUCAAACACUGUUAAAUAAUUCAAUAACUGAGCUGUUGUAUUCUUUUCGAGAUAAAACUGACAGCAUCGUACUGCAUAAUUUACAACACAACCAAGUAUCAGAAAUCUUCAGACUGCAGUAACAACAUACAUACAUACAGAGUGGCAACUUACCAGUCAAGCUGAAGCCCUUAGUGUCAGUUGAAUCAAUAGCAACACCAUUUUCCCCAACAUCACACUUGCCAACAACAACACAAGUUCCCCAAAGCAGGGUGAGAAGAA